CAUAUCAAUAAGCGGGAGGAAAAAGAAACUUAACAAGGAUUCCCCUAGUAACUGCGAGUGAAGCGGGAAAAGCUCAAAUUUAAAAUCUGUCAGUCUUUGGCUGUCCGAGUUGUAAUCUAGAGAAGUGUUAUCCGCGCUGGACCGUGUACAAGUCUCCUGGAAUGGAGCGUCAUAGAGGGUGAGAAUCCCGUCUCUGACACGGACUACCAGGGCUUUGUGAUGCGCUCUCAAAGAGUCGAGUUGUUUGGGAAUGCAGCUCAAAAUGGGUGGUAAAUUCCAUCUAAAGCUAAAUAUUGGCGAGAGACCGAUAGCGAACAAGUACCGUGAGGGAAAGAUGAAAAGAACUUUGGAAAGAGAGUUAAACAGUACGUGAAAUUGCUGAAAGGGAAACGCUUGAAGUCAGUCGCGUUGUCCAGGGAUCAACCUUGCUUUUGCUUGGUGUACUUUCUGGUUAACGGGUCAGCAUCAAUUUUGAUCAUUGGAAAAAGGUUAGGGGAAUGUGGCAUCUUCGGAUGUGUUAUAGCCCUUGAUUGCAUACAAUGGUUGGGAUUGAGGAACUCAGCACGCCGCAAGGCCGGGUUUUAACCACGUACGUGCUUAGGAUGCUGGCAUAAUGGCUUUAAUCGACCCGUCUUGAAACACGGACCAAGGAGUCUAACAUGCCUGCGAGUGUUUGGGUGGAAAACCCGAGCGCGUAAUGAAAGUGAAAGUUGAGAUCCCUGUCGUGGGGAGCAUCGACGCCCGGACCAGACCUUUUGUGACGGUUCCGCGGUAGAGCAUGUAUGUUGGGACCCGAAAGAUGGUGAACUAUGCCUGAAUAGGGUGAAGCCAGAGGAAACUCUGGUGGAGGCUCGUAGCGAUUCUGACGUGCAAAUCCGAUCGUCAAAUUUGGGUAUAGGGGCGAAAGACUAAUCGAAACAUUCUAGUAGGUGGGUCCUGCC
RNAcentral lists this ribosomal RNA (941 nucleotides) under Cortinarius suecicolor. RNAcentral describes it as "partial large subunit ribosomal RNA". It matches the Rfam family "Eukaryotic large subunit ribosomal RNA", at positions 39 to 962 of the family's 3401-position model. The record is from RNAcentral. Lineage: Eukaryota; Fungi; Basidiomycota; Agaricomycetes; Agaricales; Cortinariaceae.